This is a long non-coding RNA of Bos taurus (domestic cattle), 1108 nucleotides long. Lineage: Eukaryota; Metazoa; Chordata; Mammalia; Artiodactyla; Bovidae. The record is from Ensembl.
CCCCCCCCCACAAGAGACGGGCCCGGCGCUGAGUUGGGGGGGAGCCCGGGUGGGGCUGCCGCCUCCUUGCACCGCGCCCCGGGAGGUUGGUUCACCUGUCCGACUCGUUCCUCUUCUCCGAGCUCCCUCGCCCUCCUGCCUUUGCACCGCCCGGGGCAACGGCGCGGGGUGCGCGGGCUGUUUUAUUGCAUUUAUUUAUUUAUUUAUCCCUCCCGGAGCCAGUGCGAGUUUUAUGUUUUAAUAACUUUAUCAACUCGGCGAACUUGCGCGAGGGCACAGGCAGCUUCUCUUGCCCUCCCUCCUCCUCCCCUCCCCCCGCCCCCACCAAUCUCUAACUGGCCUCUGGGUCCCUUCCAAAAGGGGCUUCCUUCCAGUUCUCCUUCUUACGGCUUCACCACUGGUGUGGUCAACACAGCAGGCAAAAUUAACCCGACUAAAGUGUUUGAUCUACAGAUAAGAUACUCCUAUGCAUUUUGCAAGUUCAGUUUAGGAUGACCUGCACUGAUACCUGUUUUCACUAACUGGAAGAGAUCUGAAGAGGACUUUUGCUCUUAGGAGGACAGACCUUCAUCAAAGCUGCUGCAGGUCCAUCAGCUUCGUUCCCCUGGAACUAAAGAGCCUUGUAAGAACUUCACGAGGACCAUUCAUCCAGGGAGUCCUCAACCUCAGUUCUCACAGUCAGUCGUACCCACACCACCAGGUUGACUGCCAGAAAAUGCAGCUCUAGCCAUGUGAGUCCCUUGCUCUUCGCGGGCUCCCUGCAGCCUUCUGAUACAGACAGAAGAUGGAGAUCUGAGAGGCUUACAGGAGAAAAAGUUAAGGAGCCCGUCAAGAAGAGGAUGGACAGACCAAAGAAAACAGCCCACGGCAGCAGACACCUGAGAUACAGAUACUUUAAGAGUUGGCUGUGAGCUCUCACGUCCCACUCCUUGAGUCUAAGAUAGGUCUCCUUUUAAACAACUGCAAGAACCAACUAACCAGUGCUCCUGCCUCCAGACCUGCCAGCUCACUGCCAAGUAUUCUUUCCUGAACCGCAAACCUGGAUAUGUAUCGUCCUUGUCCACUUUGUGACUCCCCUAAGGUCCAGACUCUUUAGCUGGCAUAUGAG